This 380-nucleotide ribosomal RNA is filed under the name uncultured cyanobacterium. RNAcentral describes it as "bacterial SSU rRNA". It matches the Rfam family "Bacterial small subunit ribosomal RNA", at positions 376 to 770 of the family's 1533-position model. Lineage: Bacteria; Bacillati; Cyanobacteriota. The record is from RNAcentral.
CGCAAGCCUGACGGAGCAAGACCGCGUGGGGGAGGAAAGCCUUUGGGUUGUAAACCCCUUUUCUCAGGGAAGAAGAAAGUGACGGUACCUGAGGAAUCAGCCUCGGCUAACUCCGUGCCAGCAGCCGCGGUAAUACGGAGGAGGCAAGCGUUAUCCGGAAUGAUUGGGCGUAAAGCGUCCGUAGGCGGUUUAUCAAGUCUGUCGUUAAAGACUGCAGCUUAACUGUGGGCGAGCGGUGGAAACUGAUUAACUAGAGUGUGGUAGGGGUAGAGGGAAUCCCCAGUGUAGCGGUGAAAUGCGUAGAUAUUGGGAAGAACACCAGUGGCGAAGGCGCUCUACUGGGCCACAACUGACGCUGAGGGACGAAAGCUAGGGGAGCG